Molecule: ribosomal RNA, 406 nt
Filed under: Witica cayanus
Lineage: Eukaryota; Metazoa; Arthropoda; Arachnida; Araneae; Araneidae
Description: partial large subunit ribosomal RNA
Rfam family: Bacterial large subunit ribosomal RNA
Source: RNAcentral
AAAACAUUUUUUACAGAAUUAUCAUUGUAAAUAUAUCCUGCUCAAUGAAAUUUAAAUAGCCGCGGAAUUUUAACCGUGCUAAGGUAGCAUAAUCAUUAGCCUUUUAAUUAGAGGCUCGUAUGAAAGGAAUUACAUUUCAAUUUCUUUAUUUUAUAAUUUAUUUUAAAUUAAAUUAAGAAUAAAAAUGUUCUUAUGAGUUAAUUAGACGAUAAGACCCUUUUGAACUUUACUAAAGUUUAGCUGGGGCAGCUAAGGAAUAAUUAUUUUCCUUAUUUUUGUUUAAUAAAAGACCCAAUAAAAUUGUUUAUUGAACAAGUUACCAUAGGGAUAACAGCGUAAUAUUUUUUUAAAGCUCUUAUUUAAAAAAAAGUUUGCGACCUCGAUGUUGAAUUAAAAUUACUUAUUU